This 404-nucleotide ribosomal RNA is filed under the name uncultured bacterium. Its description in RNAcentral is "bacterial SSU rRNA". It matches the Rfam family "Bacterial small subunit ribosomal RNA", at positions 362 to 758 of the family's 1533-position model. The record is from RNAcentral.
UUUUGGACAAUGGGCGCAAGCCUGAUCCAGCCAUGCCGCGUGAGUGAAGAAGGCCUUCGGGUUGUAAAGCUCUUUCGGUGAAGACGAAACGGUUAGUGCUAAUAACACUGACUAAUGACGGUACUCACAGAAGAAGCACCGGCUAACUACGUGCCAGCAGCCGCGGUAAUACGUAGGGUGCAGGCGUUAAUCGGAAUUACUGGGCGUAAAGCGUGCGCAGGCGGUUUGCUAAGACAGGUGUGAAAUCCCCGAGCUUAACUUGGGAAUUGCGCUUGUAACUGGCAAGCUAGAGUGUGGCAGAGGGGGGUGGAAUUCCACGUGUAGCAGUGAAAUGCGUAGAUAUGUGGAGGAACACCGAUGGCGAAGGCAGCCCCCUGGGCCGGCACUGACGCUCAUGCACGAAA